RNAcentral lists this transfer RNA (69 nucleotides) under Marmota monax (woodchuck). RNAcentral describes it as "tRNA.Ala". The record is from RNAcentral. Lineage: Eukaryota; Metazoa; Chordata; Mammalia; Rodentia; Sciuridae.
GGGGCUGUAGCUCAGUGGUGCAGUGCUUGCCUAGCAUGCAUGAAGCAAUGGGUUCAAUCUUCAGCACCA